AGAGACCCGCGCCCGCCCCCGGGCCCCGAGGUCAGGCUCCCCCGGCCGCGCCCUUCCGUAGCGCCCGCACCCGGGAAGCCGACCCGGCCCAGGGCCGCAGUCCAGACUCUGCCGCUUCCUCCCCGCUGUUCAGGUUGAGCAGUUGCCGGGAGCCCUUCCCCACCUGUGACGUUUCAUUUCAGAACCGACUCACACCCCCGCAGCGCCCCAGGUAACCGAUGUGUGCGGGGGAUAAAAAUCAACCGUGACGCCCAGAAUCCCUCGCCAGCCCGGGAGGAGAGGCCAUAAAGCACUGAGAGGGCCGGCUUGGGUCUAGAGGAAUCCAGGGCUGCGGGGACAAGGUUGCUGCACCCCAAUCUUUCAGGGAUCCUUUUGUAAAAAUCAAGUUUGUUACUUUAAUUCCAGCAAAGGCCGCACACAGUGUGGUGUUGGCUUCAGGUGUGCAGUGUGGCGAUGCGAUGCGUGCGGGGUACUCUGCGCCCACCGCGGUAAGUACCUAUUACACCUAUUAUCUAUUUCAUCCA
This 524-nucleotide long non-coding RNA is filed under the name Vulpes vulpes (red fox). RNAcentral's name for it is "lncRNA (ENSVVUG00000023967.1)". Lineage: Eukaryota; Metazoa; Chordata; Mammalia; Carnivora; Canidae. The record is from RNAcentral.